AGGGAUUUAGCUCAGUGGCACAGCAUCUGCCCAGCAAGCAUGAGGUCCUGAGUUCAAUUCCCAGAGCCCUCU
Molecule: transfer RNA, 72 nt
Filed under: Cavia porcellus (domestic guinea pig)
Lineage: Eukaryota; Metazoa; Chordata; Mammalia; Rodentia; Caviidae
Rfam family: tRNA
About the family: Transfer RNA (tRNA) molecules are approximately 80 nucleotides in length. Their secondary structure includes four short double-helical elements and three loops (D, anti-codon, and T loops). Further hydrogen bonds mediate the characteristic L-shaped molecular structure. tRNAs have two regions of fundamental functional importance: the anti-codon, which is responsible for specific mRNA codon recognition, and the 3' end, to which the tRNAs corresponding amino acid is attached (by aminoacyl-tRNA synthetases). tRNAs cope with the degeneracy of the genetic code in two manners: having more than one tRNA (with a specific anti-codon) for a particular amino acid; and 'wobble' base-pairing, i.e. permitting non-standard base-pairing at the 3rd anti-codon position.
Source: Rfam by way of RNAcentral